CACGAUCCGGCGAGAGGAACGGAGCACGGUUGUCGCUGGUCCAUCAAGGACAUGUGCACGCUUUCUUCUCUACUCUCGCCGUAUGGGCGCGGGGGAGGCCCGUCCCCCCCCCGCGUCUUCAUGCGCCCCUUCGUGUAGAAAGUCCUUGAAUGUUUUUAUCAUCAUCGAGUCGCGACUUCUAGGAGACGCGGUUCUUUGAGACAAAAGUUAUCACAACUUUCAGCAAUGGAUCUCUUGGCUCUCGCAUCGAUGAAGAACGCAGCGAAUCGCGAUAUGUAAUGUGAAUUGCAGAUCUACAGUGAAUCAUCGAAUCUUUGAACGCACCUUGCGCUCCUCGGUGUUCCGAGGAGCAUGCCUGUUUGAGCGUCAGUAAAUUCUCAACCCCUCUCGAUUCACUUCGACCGGGCGCUUGGAUCUUGGGGGCUUGCCAGAGACCUUCGGGACUCGGGCUCCCCUUAAAUGCAUCGGCUUGUGGGGUCGACCCUCGACUUUGCGCGACAAGGCCUUCGGCGUGAUAAUGAUCGCCGUUGGCUGAAGCGCAUCAAUCCGAGCCUCUAAUCCGUCGACGCCUUUCUGGCGUCUUCCUCUUUGACGUUUGACCUCAAAUCAGGUAGGACUACCCGCUGAACUUUAAGCAUAUCAAUA
RNAcentral lists this ribosomal RNA (645 nucleotides) under uncultured fungus. RNAcentral describes it as "eukaryotic LSU rRNA". The stretch from base 215 to 369 matches the Rfam family "5.8S ribosomal RNA". Lineage: Eukaryota; Fungi. The record is from RNAcentral.